UUUUUGGAGGGUCCCCUACAGAGUUGGGCAACCUCAGCACUCCAGCUGUUGUGGAACUACAAGUCCCAUGAGGCAAUACAAGACUCUGGCAGCGACAGGCAUGUCAAAGACUACUA
Molecule: long non-coding RNA, 116 nt
Organism: Nanorana parkeri
Lineage: Eukaryota; Metazoa; Chordata; Amphibia; Anura; Dicroglossidae
Exons: 4
Source: RefSeq, a predicted model, not a curated record